GAUGAACGCUGGCGGCGUGCCUAAUACAUGCAAGUCGAGCGAACAGACGAGGAGCUUGCUCCUUUGACGUUAGCGGCGGACGGGUGAGUAACACGUGGGUAACCUACCUAUAAGACUGGGAUAACUUCGGGAAACCGGAGCUAAUACCGGAUAAUAUUUCGAACCGCAUGGUUCGAUAGUGAAAGAUGGCUUUGCUAUCACUUAUAGAUGGACCUGCGCCGUAUUAGCUAGUUGGUAAGGUAACGGCUUACCAAGGCAACGAUACGUAGCCGACCUGAGAGGGGGAUCGGCCACACUGGAACUGAGACACGGUCCAGACUCCUACGGGAGGCAGCAGUAGGGAAUCUUCCGCAAUGGGCGAAAGCAUGACGGAGCAACGCCGCGUGAGUGAUGAAGGUCUUCGGAUCGUAAAACUCUGUUAUUAGGGAAGAACAAACGUGUAAGUAACUGUGCACGUCUUGACGGUACCUAAUCAGAAAGCCACGGCUAACUACGUG
This 497-nucleotide ribosomal RNA is filed under the name uncultured bacterium. Its description in RNAcentral is "partial 16S ribosomal RNA". It matches the Rfam family "Bacterial small subunit ribosomal RNA", at positions 28 to 507 of the family's 1533-position model. The record is from RNAcentral.